This 451-nucleotide ribosomal RNA is filed under the name uncultured bacterium. RNAcentral describes it as "bacterial SSU rRNA". It matches the Rfam family "Bacterial small subunit ribosomal RNA", at positions 354 to 796 of the family's 1533-position model. The record is from RNAcentral.
GUGAGGAAUAUUGCGCAAUGGGGGCAACCCUGACGCAGCGAUGCCGCGUGGGUGAAGAAGGCCUUCGGGUCGUAAAGCCCUGUCGGGCGGGAAGAAUAGGUGGCGGCUGAAUAAUCCGCCACUGUGACGGUACCGCCAAAGGAAGCACCGGCUAACUCCGUGCCAGCAGCCGCGGUAAGACGGAGGGUGCGAGCGUUAUUCGGAUUCAUUGGGCGUAAAGGGCGUGCAGGCGGCCGGUCAAGUCAGACGUGAAAGCCCGGGGCUUAACCUCGGAAGUGCGUUUGAAACUGGUUGGCUUGAGUCCGGGAGAGGGAAGCGGAAUUCCGGGUGUAGAGGUGAAAUUCGUAGAUAUCCGGAGGAACACCGGUGGCGUAGGCGGCUUCCUGGACCGAGACUGACGCUGAGACGCGAAAGCGUGGGGAGCAAACAGGAUUAGAUACCCGGGUAGUCC